CGGCGGACGGGUGAGUAACGCGUGGGUAACCUGCCUCAUACAGGGGGAUAACAGUUGGAAACGGCUGCUAAUACCGCAUAAGCGCACAGUACCGCAUGGUACGGUGUGAGAAACUCCGGUGGUAUGAGAUGGACCCGCGUCUGAUUAGGUGGUUGGUGGGGUAACGGCCUACCAAGCCGACGAUCAGUAGCCGACCUGAGAGGGUGACCGGCCACAUUGGGACUGAGACACGGCCCAA
This 238-nucleotide ribosomal RNA is filed under the name uncultured bacterium. Its description in RNAcentral is "partial 16S ribosomal RNA". It matches the Rfam family "Bacterial small subunit ribosomal RNA", at positions 96 to 334 of the family's 1533-position model. The record is from RNAcentral.